UACGUAGGGGGCAAGCGUUGUCCGGAUUCAUUGGGCGUAAAGAGCGUGUAGGCGGCCAGGUAGGUCGGUUGUGAAAACUGGAGGCUCAACCUUCAGAGGUCGACCGAAACCAUCUGGCUAGAGUCCGGGAGAGGAGAGUGGAAUUCCCGGUGUAGCGGUGAAAUGCGUAGAUAUCUGGAGGAACACCGGUGGCGAAGGCGGCAUCCUGGACCGAUACUGACGCUGAGGAGCGAAAGCCAGGGGAGCAAACGAG
Molecule: ribosomal RNA, 253 nt
Filed under: uncultured bacterium
Lineage: Bacteria
Description: partial 16S ribosomal RNA
Rfam family: Bacterial small subunit ribosomal RNA
Source: RNAcentral